Sinocyclocheilus rhinocerous is the source of this 385-nucleotide long non-coding RNA. RefSeq lists it as uncharacterized. The record is from RefSeq and is a predicted model, not a curated record. The transcript is spliced from 3 exons. Lineage: Eukaryota; Metazoa; Chordata; Actinopteri; Cypriniformes; Cyprinidae.
CAUCUGCUGUAGAAAUGCAUUAAAUAUCAAAAUCUCUUCUCUUUAGGCACAGAAAUGUUCUGCCCACCGGAGCUCGAUGUCACUGGCAGGUACCAUGCGAAGCCGGUGACAGUUUGUUCAUUAGAGAUCCUGCUGUUCGUGAUGGUAUUAUCCAGACGACAAAGACCUGCACAGGAUCAGUAAGAAGGACUGGUCCGAACCUGACCUGCCACAAGAAUGCUGCCAGAUGAUCUGUGAUUGUCUGCAGCCUGAUCCGCAGCGGAGACUUGUCCUGGAGGAGAUGCAGCUCCAUGACUGGUUUAUGGUCGUGGAGUAAGACAUGGAGAGCAAGAAAAAAAAACUCCCUGUCAUAGCCACUGUUUUCUUUUGUAUUUUUGUUUGUCUU